RNAcentral lists this long non-coding RNA (829 nucleotides) under Mytilus galloprovincialis (Mediterranean mussel). The record is from RNAcentral. Lineage: Eukaryota; Metazoa; Mollusca; Bivalvia; Mytilida; Mytilidae.
GGUGCAAUGGGAAGCUGAAUAGCUAAGGUUCACUUGACAAGAAAUCCAGGUUGUGCUUCGUCUUAUAUUUUUUUUGUAAAUCAGUUCCAAAGUUUGGGUCGGACACCCCACCCCACCCUCACGGAAAUGUUAAUAAUAAUGUUCUACGGCAAUACUCUUUUCGACACUAGGUAUAAUGGGAAGCUGAAUAGCUAAAGUUUACUUGACAAAAAAUCCAGGUUGUGCGUCGGCUUUUUUUUUUUUUUUUAAUUAGGUCCAAAGUUAUGGUCGAACACCUUACCCCACCUUCACGGAAAUGGUAAUAAAAAAUGUUCUACGGCAAUACUUUUUUCGACACUAAGUGCAAUGGGAAGGUGAAUAGCUUAAGUUUACUGGACAAAAAAUCCAGUGUGUGCGACGGCUUAUUUUUUUUAAUUCAAAUUAGGUCAAAAGUUGGGGUUGGACACCCUAUCCCACCCUUACGGAAAUGUUAAUUAAAAAUGUUCUACGGCAAUACUUUUUCGACACUCGGUGCAAUGGGACGCUGAAUAACUUAAGUUUACUUGACAAAAAAUCCAGGGUGUGCGUCGGCUUAUUUUUUCAUCUAAAGUUUGGGUCGGAUAUCUUACCCCACCCUUACGGAAAUGUUAAUAACAAAUGUUCUUCGGCAACACUUUUUUCGUCACUAGAUGAAAUGGGAAGCUGAAUAGUUAUUUUUUACUUGACAAAAAAUCCAGGGUGUGCGACGGCUUAGUUUUUUUUUGUUUAAAUUAGGUCCAAAGUUGAGGUCGGACACCUAAACCCAUCCUCGCGGAAAUGUUAAUUAAAAAUGUUCUACGGCAAUACUUUU